CAUGCAAGUCGAACGAUGAAGCCCAGCUUGCUGGGUGGAUUAGUGGCGAACGGGUGAGUAACACGUGAGUAACCUGCCCUUAACUCUGGGAUAAGCCUGGGAAACUGGGUCUAAUACCGGAUAGGAGCGUCCACCGCAUGGUGGGUGUUGGAAAGAUUUAUCGGUUUUGGAUGGACUCGCGGCCUAUCAGCUUGUUGGUGAGGUAAUGGCUCACCAAGGCGACGACGGGUAGCCGGCCUGAGAGGGUGACCGGCCACACUGGGACUGAGACACGGCCCAGACUCCUACGGGAGGCAGCAGUGGGGAAUAUUGCACAAUGGGCGAAAGCCUGAUGCAGCGACGCCGCGUGAGGGAUGACGGCCUUCGGGUUGUAAACCUCUUUCAGUAGGGAAGAAGCGAAAGUGACGGUACCUGCAGAAGAAGCACCGGCUAACUACGUGCCAGCAGCCGCGGUAAUACGUAGGGUGCGAGCGUUAUCCGGGAAUUAUUGGGCGUAAAGAGCUCGUAGGCGGUUUGUCGCGUCUGUCGUGAAAGUCCGGGGCUUAACCCCGGAUCUGCGGUGGGUACGGGCAGACUAGAGUGCAGUAGGGGAGACUGGAAUUCCUGGUGUAGCGGUGGAAUGCGCAGAUAUCAGGAGGAACACCGAUGGCGAAGGCAGGUCUCUGGGCUGUAACUGACGCUGAGGAGCGAAAGCAUGGGGAGCGAACAGGAUUAGAUACCCUGGUAGUCCAUGCCGUAAACGUUGGGCACUAGGUGUGGGGACCAUUCCACGGUUUCCGCGCCGCAGCUAACGCAUUAAGUGCCCCGCCUGGGGAGUACGGCCGCAAGGCUAAAACUCAAAGGAAUUGACGGGGGCCCGCACAAGCGGCGGAGCAUGCGGAUUAAUUCGAUGCAACGCGAAGAACCUUACCAAGGCUUGACAUGUUCUCGAUCGCCGUAGAGAUACGGUUUCCCCUUUGGGGCGGGUUCACAGGUGGUGCAUGGUUGUCGUCAGCUCGUGUCGUGAGAUGUUGGGUUAAGUCCCGCAACGAGCGCAACCCUCGUUCCAUGUUGCCAGCACGUAAUGGUGGGGACUCAUGGGAGACUGCCGGGGUCAACUCGGAGGAAGGUGAGGACGACGUCAAAUCAUCAUGCCCCUUAUGUCUUGGGCUUCACGCAUGCUACAAUGGCCGGUACAAUGGGUUGCGAUACUGUGAGGUGGAGCUAAUCCCAAAAAGCCGGUCUCAGUUCGGAUUGGGGUCUGCAACUCGACCCCAUGAAGUCGGAGUCGCUAGUAAUCGCAGAUCAGCAACGCUGCGGUGAAUACGUUCCCGGGCCUUGUACACACCGCCCGUCAAGUCACGAAAGUUG
Molecule: ribosomal RNA, 1350 nt
Rfam family: Bacterial small subunit ribosomal RNA